Molecule: non-coding RNA, 30 nt
Filed under: Mus musculus (house mouse)
Lineage: Eukaryota; Metazoa; Chordata; Mammalia; Rodentia; Muridae
Source: RNAcentral
UGCACUCAUGUUUUCUGAUACAUGGAUCUG